RNAcentral lists this ribosomal RNA (504 nucleotides) under uncultured bacterium. RNAcentral describes it as "partial 16S ribosomal RNA". It matches the Rfam family "Bacterial small subunit ribosomal RNA", at positions 28 to 507 of the family's 1533-position model. The record is from RNAcentral.
GACGAACGCUGGCGGCGUGCUUAACACAUGCCAGUCGAACGGGCCUUGUCCCCUUUUUUUUUGGGGGUGGGGUUAGUGGCGAACGGGUGAGUAACACGUGAGUAACCUGCCCCUCACUUCUGGAUAACCGCUUGAAAGGGUGGCUAAUACGGGGUGUUCUGGCCUGCUCGCAUGGGUGGGUUUGGAAAGAUUCGACCGGUUUGGUUGUUUUGGUGGGGGAUGGGCUCGCGGCCUAUCAGCUUGUUGGUGGGGUGAUGGCCUGCCAAGGCUUUGACGGGUAGCCGGCCUGAGAGGGUGAGCGGUCACACUGGGACUGAGACACGGCCCAGACUCCUACGGGAGGCAGCAGUGGGGAAUAUUGCACAAUGGGCGCAAGCCUGAUGCAGCGACGCCGCGUGAGGGAUGGAGGCCUUCGGGUUGUGAACCUCUUUCGCCAGUGAAGAAGGUCCUCUUUGUGGUGGGGUUGACGGUAGCUGGGUUAAUGAAGCGCCGGCUAACUACGUG